This 80-nucleotide transfer RNA is filed under the name Oscillospiraceae bacterium. RNAcentral describes it as "tRNA-Met". The record is from RNAcentral. Lineage: Bacteria; Bacillati; Bacillota; Clostridia; Eubacteriales; Oscillospiraceae. RNAcentral also lists the same sequence under 2 other names.
CGCGGAGUAGAGCAGUUGGUAGCUCGUCGGGCUCAUAACCCGGAGACUUUUCCGAUUCUUCGGAGCUCUAAAUUCCGCAA